GUGCUCACUUCGGCAGCACAUAUGCUAAAAUUGGAAUGAUACAGAGAAGAUUAGUAUGGCCCCUGCGCAAGGAUGACAUACAAAUUCAUGAAGCAUUCCAUAUUUUU
This 107-nucleotide small nuclear RNA is filed under the name Marmota monax (woodchuck). Lineage: Eukaryota; Metazoa; Chordata; Mammalia; Rodentia; Sciuridae. The record is from RNAcentral.